CAUGAUCGGACCUUCGGAUAUUCAGAUCAUCCUCGGGAAGGUGCGCCCACUUUCACGCCCCCUCACCGAGGCU
Molecule: small RNA, 73 nt
Rfam family: Actinobacteria sRNA Ms_AS-8
Source: Rfam